This 73-nucleotide transfer RNA is filed under the name Batrachomoeus trispinosus (three-spined frogfish). Its description in RNAcentral is "tRNA-Asn". The record is from RNAcentral. Lineage: Eukaryota; Metazoa; Chordata; Actinopteri; Batrachoidiformes; Batrachoididae.
UAGAUAGAUGCUUGUGGGUUUAAGCUCUUAGCUGUUAACUAAGCUUUUGUAGGAUCGAGGCCUGCCUAUCUAG